UACGAAGGGGGCUAGCGUUGUUCGGAAUUACUGGGCGUAAAGCGCACGUAGGCGGAUAUUUAAGUUAGGGGUGAAAUCCCAGGGCUCAACCCUGGAACUGCCUCUAAUACUGGGUAUCUCGAGUCCGAGAGAGGUGAGUGGAAUUCCGAGUGUAGAGGUGAAAUUCGUAGAUAUUAGGAGGAACACCGGUGGCGAAGGCGACUUUCUGGACGAUAACUGACGCUGAGACGCGAAAGCGUGGGGAGCAAACAGGAUUAGAUACCCCCGUAGUCCCUGAGCGGGCU
RNAcentral lists this ribosomal RNA (284 nucleotides) under uncultured prokaryote. RNAcentral describes it as "partial 16S ribosomal RNA". It matches the Rfam family "Bacterial small subunit ribosomal RNA", at positions 524 to 817 of the family's 1533-position model. The record is from RNAcentral.